This 28-nucleotide small RNA is filed under the name Bombyx mori (domestic silkworm). Its description in RNAcentral is "ovarian small RNA-15168". The record is from RNAcentral. Lineage: Eukaryota; Metazoa; Arthropoda; Insecta; Lepidoptera; Bombycidae.
GAACGAUUACUCCGUUGAUGGGUAGCUU